GGCUGGGCAGCGCCAGGCUGCGCGGCGGCCGGCCGGGCGGGGAUCAUGGUGGCUGAGGAAGCACCGGGGCGCCUUCCUUUCCCCCCACCCCCCUUCCCCCCAACCUCAGGGCGGUGGGCAGCGCCGGGGCUGCCCGCACCGCGACUCAGGUCACAGGCUGAAAGCAGAUCUCUGCAGAAAAAGAGGAGAGUUUGUGACUACAAUGAGUUUUGAAGGUCAGAGGACAUGUCCUGGGAGGUAACACUAUUUGCACAGGAGCAUAUCCGAAGAAAAACUGUGGUCCAUAAAGAACUUCCCAAACAAGAUAACUGCAAAGCAGAUUUAAUUGUGAGAAUUUAUUGCUCUUCAAAACAACAAGACUGCUUAAUAAUGGUGAAACAAGUACUGAAAAUUCAGGAAGCAGGCAGUGCAAUGUCUACAACAUCCUUAGUUUUACCCCCUGUGUCCAUACGUGCUCACUAUCCAUCAGCAGGAGAUCCUAACUAGCUGUCAUAGGAAAUAAGACUCUAGAGUGUGUACAUUUGCUUUUUGCAUGAUGGUAUUUUUACAGAAAUUUACUGUUCAACGAGUUUAAUUUGUGGUCUAAACUGAUAAUAACUCCAGCCUAGAGAAGCAUUUAAAUACACAUUAACAAUAAAGUUAAGCACACUUAAAAUGCUCUCUCAGUUGGAAUCCAAGACCUGAACUUGAAUCUCUCAUGCCUGUGAUUUAGUGUAUAGAAGCCUCAAAUUUAUUUGCAUGGUAAAGAGCUGAUCGGUGCUAUCUGUGAAAUGCUCUUGUCUGAACUGCGGAGAAAUCUCAGGAAAAACAGAAGAAGGAGAAAAGAAGUUGAUCUGAUGCUUCCAUAAAUAGAAUGUGGAAAAAUUCUGAUGUCCUAAUGGAUUUUUUAUUUUCCAAUGGUAAGUGUAUAAUUUAACUGAUAGAGAAAUGUUUCACAGGACUGUGCUACUCAAUUUAAAGAAAAGACAACCAAAAAAUAUACAAUUCAAAUGUUUUCACUGUGAUGGGUAGUUACAGCUUUUGUAUUAAAACAACUUCUAGGUUAGAAAUGUCAUUUUAAUGAUAACAUAUGACACGGACUUAAUGCAUUGAUUUUAAUCAAAGAGCACCUGGCAAGAGACUGUGAGUUUUGAGGGAGAAAAUGUUUGUUGUACUUCAGCUCUGUUCUGAACCAAAACCAAACCAAGUCCUGGAUUCUUAAUGUUUAAAGGGAAGGCUUUUUUUUUUUUUCUUUUUCUUAACCUGAGUACACACAUGGGAUCAGGAGAUCCUUUGAAGGAGAAUGAAUGAAUUAGUAGAGGGUACCAAAUAUAAAUUAUAUCAAGUUCCCUUCCCAAAAUAGGAGCAGAAUUUGAAAGGCUGCUUGAGUGUAUCCAUUGCCAAUAUCUGCCAAGAAUAUUCAUAGAAGAAGAAGGGCUAGAGGCAGUUUACAGGGUGAUCGUUGGAGGCUGAGGACUUCACUUUCUAUUAGAGAGAUACAAGGACAGAGAUAGGAGACUUCUACAUAAAUUUGAUUCAUUUAAGACCCCAGAUAUAUGUAACAUAUCUCUAGCCAUCAAAGUAUGAUGGAAUUAGAAACAGAUAGUACAGUAGAUAUACCCUUCCCCAAAAUUCUCAUAGGGUUAAGCCAAGGGCAGAGAUCACCUUGGUAACAAAUGGGCCUCUUGGUAAAAAGAUAUCGCCUGUCUUCAUUGUCAGCAUGGCCAGUGGGAAAACUGUUUGCUUGUGCCUAUUUUACAAACUACGUUUGGCCAAAACCUUUGGUACAAAAUGAUACAAUUUACUAAUUUUAUGUUCUGUAAAAGCAGCUCCUCCUAAAAAUCAAAUAUUUUCCUCUGACUGGGAAUGAACCAUGGAGUAGUGCAGAGAAAGUGUUGAGGUGUUCUAAUGAAAUUAGUUUUAAAGGGAAAAUUGUUUUGGAACCUUAAAUAAUGGAUCACUACCGUUACCGUAUAAUUAUUUACUUACAGAUCAGAUUACUGUUUACUUUUGCCUUGGCAUAAUGUAGCUCUUCUUAGCUACAAAACCAAAAUAUUGAUGAGUCAGGUAGCUAAAGCAAGAAGCAGAAUUCAGAAUGCUUUAAAUAAUGCCGGGCAUUUUAUGCAACAUUUUAUCUAACUAAAAAUUAGUUCCCUACUUGAUAGAAGAAAAUGGAUAACUCCUGAAGUAAAGUAUCUUUUCCUUCAUCAGUGCUAUAAGCAUUGGAAGGAAGGAUGGCUCUGGACCCUGACUAAACUUAUUUUCUGUAUUAGUAGGUAUAGUUACACAUUUUGUCUAAGUAUAUAACAAACAUAUUUGGGUGAAUUUCCCUUCUUUUAAUCCUGCUAAUUUUGAAAUCCUGUCUCUUUUCACUGAUGUUUAAAAAUGAAAAACAACAAAUACAACAGAGAACAGUAGCAGCAAACCUAAUGAAUUUCAUCUUAGAGGUUUGCACAGACUUUAGAACGCUAUUAGGAGACAAACAUUGUCACUUUGUUUCCACUUCAGGAAUUACAACAGGAUUAUACAUGAAUGUAUACCAGACAGGAGGUUGCAUACCAUGUGAUAAAACUCAUCCUAAGUAACCCCAAAGUGUCACAAUAGGAUAACGAUGUAGCUUGCCUGGGUUCUCCAAAACUGCCAAGUAAAGAUGCUCACCUCUAUAGACCGAAACCAGUGGCAGAUGUCUCCACUUGCCUGACCUCUGCUAGCAGAGGGAGCUGGGACGCUGUGUUUGCUGUGUUCAGCAGCACGGCCAGCCACCAAUGGUCUUUUAUUUUUCUUCCUGACACAUUGCUGAUCCUUUAGCACUACUAGAAGAGGUCUUGUGCUUGGAAGCAGAUGUAGGUAUUUUCAAUUAAAAUGCUUUCAUGGGCCCCAGAAGCUCUUUGGUGUUCAUUCUCACUGUUUGGACAUUAGGCACUUCACCUCAUCUGUUUUGCCAGCUGCCUUGGGGAGAUUUGCUUCUGCGAGGGCUUAUCCUGUAAGUUAAAAGGCAACUGUUAAACUUGUUUGUGGUAUGAGUUGCUUCGCAUUGAAACACAUAAGGGGCUCAUUAAAAUCCAAAUGACAGAAGGUGGAAAUCUUUCUGGCACAACAGCUACUGUGUCACAAUAUUGUUGAUUCCUCAUUAGCAAUUUUCAGAGGUAGGCUUUUCACGGUAGGCCUGUUGUAUGAAAAUCAACCAGGUCAGAACAUCUCAGAAGAUGUUGUUGCAAGUGUUCAGCCUCCUACCAUUGAGCUGGGAGAUUUGUCUCUCCCCCUUCUCAAAGCAUCCUAAGGAGCAGAAGCUGAUCCCUUUUCUACUCCUUGGAAGUUUGCAUGCCAUACUUAAGCAGAUAUUAAAGGGCACAUGCAGCUUCAUUUCCUGUUCUAAAACACAUGGGAGAAUAUCUUUUCUAAUAGUCUCUCCUACUUUUCCUGUCAUUUUCACUGAGGGAUUAAGAAAAUUAAUCCCAAGGAUAUUUUGAGCUAACAACACUGAGAAGCAGUGGAAGUCUGUCAUGGUUUUAGAUGCUCUACACCACGUCCCUGUGGCAUUAACUGAUGAAUCCUCACAACACUUUCAGAACUACAGCUUGUGCUAGGCACUAUAUCAUCUACAUUUCAUCAUGUAUCCCAAAAAGAAAUACAUAUCAUAUUUGGGGUUACUGAGUAGUUUAUGUUAUGUAUGGUGCUUGCCAGACAAUGUCUGGACACCAGGAUGAGAGCUUGGGAUCUGUUCAUUGCUGUGGAGCAAAUUCCAUUUCCUCUGUUUUCCUGCUCCUCUUUAACCAUUUUUUUGUAUUGUUUUGUUUUGGCUUUGUUUGGUUUUUGUGACCCCUGUAGGGCAGGGAUGCCUACCCAUGCAGCCUGCUGUAGGGAACCUGCUUUGCAGGGGGGUGGACUCAAUGACCUCUAAAGGUCCAUUCCAGCUCUUACAAUUCCGUGAUGCCUCCUUUUACUCUGUACAGUGCUCACCAGCCAUAGAACCAUAGGAUCUCCUUUUGGGCUGCUUAGUACUGCUGUAAAAUGCAUUAAGCUUAAUAAAAUGGGCAAAAGUUUAGCACAGCCCUAGUUGUUGUAAAGCCAGGAGUGGCUUUGUAGAACUUCCCAAGAAAUAACUGAUAGGAUCUUAAGGCAAGGCAGCACUAUUCUGUAUCUUCUAUAAAUCUUACUUUGCCACACUUCUUAGACAUUUUAAAUAUAUCUUAGGAAUACUCAAACACUGUGUUAGUGCUGUGCUUUCCUUGUAUACAUCAAUAUGUAAGGCAACUGAGUAAGUUCCUGAGUUACCAUGGAGCUGAACUGCAUAGGUCUUGGGAGACAGCGAAAACUAAUAAAACAGAAUGAGAAAGUAACUCCCCAGGAACUGGAUUUUCAAAGUGCAAAUAGAUGAAUGUCGC
Molecule: long non-coding RNA, 4364 nt
Organism: Coturnix japonica (Japanese quail)
Lineage: Eukaryota; Metazoa; Chordata; Aves; Galliformes; Phasianidae
Source: RefSeq, a predicted model, not a curated record